AAUGAACGUUGGCGGCGUGGAUUAGGCAUGCGAGUCGCGCGAGAAUGUAGCAAUACAGGAAAGCGGCGAAAGGGAGAGGAAUAGGUGGGAAUCUGCCCCUGGAUCGGGGAUAGCUACGGGAAACUGUAGGUAAUACCCGAUAACGUCUAUGGACCAAAGGUGUGAUUCCGUCUGGGGAUGAGCCCACCUCCUAUUAGCUAGUUGUUAGGGUAAUGGCCUAACAAGGCAUUGAUGGGUAGCUGGUGUGAGAGCACGACCAGCCUCACUGGCACUGAGACACUGGCCAGACACCUACGGGUGGCUGCAGUCGAGAAUCUUCGGCAAUGGACGAAAGUCUGACCGAGCGACGCCGCGUGCGGGACGAAGGCCUUCGGGUUGUAAACCGCUGUCGUAGGGGAUCAAAGGUAUUGGGGUUCUCCCCUUUAUUUGAGAGAUCCUAGGAGGAAGGAGAGGCUAAGCUCG
This 462-nucleotide ribosomal RNA is filed under the name uncultured bacterium. RNAcentral's name for it is "partial 16S ribosomal RNA". It matches the Rfam family "Bacterial small subunit ribosomal RNA", at positions 29 to 505 of the family's 1533-position model. The record is from RNAcentral.